Molecule: ribosomal RNA, 253 nt
Filed under: uncultured bacterium
Lineage: Bacteria
Description: partial 16S ribosomal RNA
Rfam family: Bacterial small subunit ribosomal RNA
Source: RNAcentral
UACGUAGGGGGCUAGCGUUGUCCGGAUUUAUUGGGCGUAAAGAGCGUGUAGGCGGCCAGGUAGGUCUGGUGUGAAAACUCGAGGCUUAACCUCGAGAUGUCAUCGGAAACCAUUUGGCUAGAGUCCGGAAGAGGAGAGUGGAAUUCCUGGUGUAGCGGUGAAAUGCGCAGAUAUCAGGAAGAACACCAAUGGCGAAAGCAGCUCUCUGGGGCGGUACUGACGCUGAGACGCGAAAGCGUGGGGAGCGAACAGG